Pelobates cultripes (western spadefoot toad) is the source of this 450-nucleotide non-coding RNA. Lineage: Eukaryota; Metazoa; Chordata; Amphibia; Anura; Pelobatidae. The record is from the annotation of a GenBank genome assembly.
CCCGAUCGGAUUGCUAUUACUUUGUGGAACGUUUCGCCGAAUGGUUCACGGAAUAUCGUCGUUCUUGUGGCGAAAUUUGUCCCAUAGGAAUGAAUGGCAAAGCUAGAGUGGGAGCUGGCAAAAGCUGAAAAAUCAGGACAUUAUUUCUAAACUGCCACCACUCCCUUAUUUUCAGGCCCACCUACACAAAUCUUAUAUCAAAACGUUCAGCUUUCCCUCCUGCCACUAAAUAUGUCAACGGCUAAGCCAUAGUCCUGAUAGUUUUCACAAUAUAAUCAUUUGUUUGCAACUAACGCCGUCCAUUGACAUUCAUUGAAACUUCCCUCUACAAAGCUCAAAUUUGAAGUGCAAUUUCUAAACUGCGACUGUGCCUUCACUUUUAAUACUUCAGAGACAUACUAUGCAUCAAAAUGUAGGUCUGGGUCUUGUGAUUCUCACAAUAUAAAGCUC